CCUACAUGAAGUUUAGGUCAAGGUUUUUUCCUAUAAUUGUCCAAUAUUCUAACACCAUUUGUUGAACAGACUAUCCUUCCUCUCAACUAAUUUUUGAAACUAUUUUCACCAGGGUUGCUAAUGGCCUCCUACUUUCCUGAUCUAAAGGAACAAUGACCUGUAACACAUUUUAGCAAUGGAGUGUUGGUGUAGACUGUGUGCUUUGUAACAACGGUGACACCAGGAGUUCCUUCACCUGGACAAUGAGUGAAUGGAGGGAGAGUGCUGGCCUCAUCCAUCACCCACCGGAGGGGUGCAACACAUUCAGAGUGGUGGGAGCAGCCCUGACUAUACACUGCCUGCUCAUGUAGCACGAACCAGGCAGAGAAGACAACAUAUCUUCACAGCUCUCCCACUGUAUGGCUGCUUGGGGGAAAGAUGCUGCCAAAUGAAUGAAAGAAAGAAGGCUGGAAUGCAUUUCUCAUGCUUGAAUUCAGGCUUUCCCAUCUACUUACAGUCAGGAACAGUCACGUAUAUGCUUUCCCAUGCUCCACCUGAAGUGGCUCCUGUAGCAAGCUGUAGGGCGACCAGAAGACAGCAGCAGGAAUUAAACCGAAGCCAAGAAACUGAGCACAGUUCCUCGGGCAAAUCUUAAUCUUGGCUGAUGCCAUAUCUGGUGGGGGCGAGCUGAAGUCUACUUCCCUGUGGAUAGAGAGAGAAACCUGCUUUUGAAACUCCUUCCAGAAGCAUACCAUCUUUUCAUAAGUGGGAAAUGUCUUGUGUUUUGCCUUCUGUUUCUUGUUUGAUGGCAUGCCUGGCCUUCUUUCCUAUUUUUACCUUGUCUGCAGAUUUUUCCACCACAAAGAGAGUUCCCAGAUAAUUAUCCACUCUUCUGCCUAGUGAACAAAAGGAAGCAUAAUCUGGACUAACUAGAGGUUGAGUAUCCCAGGUUCUUCUCAGGUUAUGGUUGGCUGAGCUACACUUAUUGAACACCUGUUGUAAAUGACCAUCAUGAAGAUGAAGCCAUGUAGGUUCCAGUUGUGGUUUCCCCAUGGAGUGUUCUGGGCAAAUCACUCUGUGAUUCUGUUUUCUGUAUCAUUAAAAGAAGAGAAUAUUACCACCUUCCUAAAAUGGGUAUUGUGAGGAUUAAAUGGAAAGAAAAUAGAUUUUUGUGGAAAUUGUAAAUGUUACCUUAACACUACACCAAUGUUAGUUAUUUUUUCUCAGUAUCUGAAAUUUGGGAGGAAAGAAUAAAAGAGAGAAAUGAAGAACAAGAGGAAGAGAAGGAAGAAGAGAGGGUGUGUGGAUUUUUUACCUUGAGAUGUUUAUACAUGCAUGGCAGAGAAACAAAAACAAAUGACAUGAAAUGAUGCUGUAAGUUGGGAAAUUUUAUACAUUUAGUUGGCUCUGCUGAUUGUUCUAAUUACCAGUUCAUAUGGUUUGGCUGCAUGCCCACCCAAAUCUCAUCCUGAAUUGUAGUUCCCAUAAUUCCCACGUGUCAUGGGAGGGACCCAGUAGGAGGUAAUUGAAUUGUGGAAUUGGUUUCCCUGAUGCUAUUCUCGUGAUAAUGAGUAAGUUCUCACAAUAUCUGGUGGUUUUAUAAGGGGCUUCCCACUUCACUCAGUUCUCAUUCUUUUCUCUCCUUUUGCUAUGUGAAGAAGGACAUGUUUGCUUUUCCUUCUGCCAUGGCUGGAAGUUUCCUGAGGCCUCCCCAGCUAUCCUGAUCAGUGAGUCAAUUAAACUUCUUUCCUUUAGAAAUUACCUAGUCUUGGGUAUGUCUUUAUUAGCAGUGUGAGAAUGAACUAAUACAGUUAAUUGGUAUUGAGAGUGGAGUGCUGCUAUAAGGAUACCUGAAGGUGGAACACAACUUUGGAACUUGGUAACAGGCAGAGGUUGGAACAGUUUGGAGGGCUCAGAAGUAGGUGGGAAAAUUUGGAAUUCGUAGAGACUGAAGGGCUCAGAAGACAGGAAGAUGGUGGGGAAGUCUGGAGCUUCCUAGAGACUUGUUGAAUGGCUUUGAACAAAAUGCUUAUAGUGAUAUGGAAAAUGAAGUCGACUGAGGUGGUCUCGAUGGAGAUGGGAAACUUGUUGGGAACUGAAAUAAAGGUCACUCUUGUCACUCUUGCCGUGCAAAGAGACUGGUGGCAUUUUGCCCCUGCCUUAGAAAUCUGUGGAACUCUGAACAUGAGAGAGGUGAUUUAGGGUAUCUGGCAAGAAACAUUUGUAAGUGGCAAAGCAUUCAAGAGGAAGAAGAGCAUAAACCUUUGAAAAUUUGCAGCCUGACUAUUGUGAUAGAAAAGAAAACCCCAUUUUCUGGGGAGAAAUUCAAGCAGGAUGCAGAUAUUUGCAAAGAUAACAAGGAGCCUAAUGUUAAUCACCAAGACAAUAGGGAAAAUGUCUCCAAGGCAUGUCAGACACCUUCACAGCAGCCUCUCCCAUCAGAGGCCUGGAGGCCUAGGAAGGAAAAGUGGUUUCCUAGGCCAGGUCCAGGGCCUUCCUGCUGUGUGCAGCUUUGGGACUUGGUGUCUUGCAUCUCAGCUACUGUAGCUAUGGUUAACAGGGGCCAAUGUACAUCUCAGGCCAUUGCUUCAUAGGGUACAAGCCCCAGGCCUUCGCAGUUUCCACAUGAUGUUGAGCCUGUGGGCACACAUAAGUCAAGAAUUGAGGUUUGGGAACCUCUGCCUGGAUUUCAGAGGAUGUAUGGAAAUACCUGAUGUCUAGGCAGAAGUUUGCUGCAGGGAUGGAGCCUUCAUGGAGACCCUCUGCUAGGGCAGUGCUGAAGGGAAAUGCAGGGUUGGAGCCCUACACAGAGUCUCUACUGGAGCACUGCCUAGUGGAGCUGUGAGAAGAGGGCCACAGUCCUCCAGACCCCAGAAUGGUAGACCCACUGACAGCUUGCACUGUGCACCUGGAAAAGCUGCAGACACUCUAUGCUAGCUGGGAUGGGACUAUACCCUGCAAAGCCACAGUGGUGGAGCUGCCUGGGGCUGUGGGAGCCCACCUCUUGCAUCACUGUUACCUGUAUGUGAGAUAUGGAGUCAUAGUAGAUCAUAUUGGAAUUUUAAGUUUUAAUGACUGCCUUAUUCGAUUUUGGAUUUGCAUGGGACCUAUAGCCCCUUUGUUUUGUCCAAUUUCUCCCAUUUGGAGUGGGCAUAUUUACCCAAUGCCUGUACCCCCAUUGUAUCUAGGAAGUAACUAACUUGCUUUUGAUUUUACAGGCUCAUAGGCAGAAGGGACUUGCCUUAUCUCAGAUGAGACUUUGGACUUGGACUUUUGAGACCAUACUGGAAUGAGUUAAGACUUCAGGGGACUAUUGGAAGGACAUGAUUAUGUUUUGAAUUGUGAGGACAUGAGAUUUGGGAGGGGCCAGGGGCAGAAUGAUAUGGUUCGGCUGUGUCCCCACCCAAAUCUCAUCUUGAAUUAUAGUUUCCAUAAUCCCCACAUGUCAUGGGAUGGAUCUGGUAGGAGGUAAUUGAAUCAUGGGGGUGAUUUCCUCCAUGCUAUUCUUGUGAUAGUGAGUUCUCAGGAGAUCUGAUGGUUUUUUAAGGGGCUUCCCCAACACUUGGUUUUCAUUCUUCUCUUUCCUGCUGCCAUGUGAAGAAAGAAGUGUUUGCUUUCCCUUCCAUCAUGGUUGGAAGUUUCCCGAGGCCUCUCCAGUCAUACUGAGCUGUGAGUCAAUUAAACUUCUUUCCUUUGUAAAUUACCCAGUCUCAGAUAUGUCUUUGUUAGCUGUGUGAGAAUAGACUAAUAUACCAGUCAAGUGUUUGCCUAAAAAUUAUGGUACUCCCUGGAAGGACAUUUAUUUUGUUAUGAAGAAAAAAAAGAGGCAAGAUAGUUCAGAAAAUAAGAG
RNAcentral lists this long non-coding RNA (3829 nucleotides) under Rhinopithecus bieti (black snub-nosed monkey). RNAcentral describes it as "lncRNA (ENSRBIG00000046722.1)". Lineage: Eukaryota; Metazoa; Chordata; Mammalia; Primates; Cercopithecidae. The record is from RNAcentral.